CCACUCUCUCCUCUUCCUCAACUCUCUCUCUCACUUCCUCCCGACCUCCCACCUCUACCUCUCUCUUCUUCAUGUAAUACCCAGAGUUUCAAAUUAGUGUAUUUCGAGAAAUAUUAGAACAAAUGCGUAAAAGUUUAACUUUUAAACCGUUGCUUGAAUAGGUGAUCAGGAACCGUGGAUGUGUAGAGGUCGCCGAGUAGUGCAAAAUAAGUUUAUAGUAAUCGGAGUCCGAACAAAGUCCCGGGGAUUGAAUUAAUGUGAGCCGUUCGAUAUUUAGUAGCCUCUCUAUUUAACCAAUAGAAAAAAAAGAAAAUUAAAAAAAAGGGCAACGCUAGCAGCUAACCCUAGCCGCCGCCUCGUGUGCCCUUGUUGCCGCUGCCGUCGUUGCGCCGUCGCAGCAGAUUCACCCAUCGCCGUCCAACGCCACUCCUGCUCGGCUCCUUCUUGGAACAGAGAGAAGUUUCAGGAAGCAGGGAAAGCAGGAGGAGAAAAGAAGGGAAAAAAAAGGGAAGAGAGGCAAAAGUCGGGGAUUUUUUGGGUUUUCACAAAUUGACCUCAAAUUUGAUUUUUCUCCUCUGCAAGGGUACGCAGUGAGACUGACAUGCAUGGGCGGGAAGUAGCACUCUUAUCUACACAUUUAUCUGCACACUAUCAAACUAUAUUGCCUAGGUCCAUAAUGAUACUUAAACUAUAUCAUGGUUCGGUCUUGUAAUAAUCUUUUAGUUUCUUUCCAUGGGUUAUAUGGAUGGAUCACUCUGUGGGAAUAAUAUUAUUAUUAGUUCAAUUUAUAACUGUUUGUCGUGGAUGUCCACAUUUA
Molecule: long non-coding RNA, 817 nt
Organism: Oryza sativa Japonica Group (Japanese rice)
Lineage: Eukaryota; Viridiplantae; Streptophyta; Magnoliopsida; Poales; Poaceae
Source: RefSeq, a predicted model, not a curated record